AGCGAACGCUGGCGGCAGGCUUAACACAUGCAAGUCGAGCGGGCAUCUUCGGAUGUCAGCGGCAGACGGGUGAGUAACACGUGGGAACGUACCCUUCGGUUCGGAACAACUCUGGGAAACUGGAGCUAAUACCGGAUACGCCCUUAUGGGGAAAGGUUUACUGCCGAAGGAUCGGCCCGCGUCUGAUUAGCUAGUUGGUGGGGUAACGGCCUACCAAGGCGACGAUCAGUAGCUGGUCUGAGAGGAUGAUCAGCCACACUGGGACUGAGACACGGCCCAGAGCCCUAACGUAGGCAGGAGUGGAGAAUAUUGUGGUAUGGACGCUGGACUUAUCAAGCCAUGCAGCGUGAGUGAUGAAGGCGGUAGGGUUAUAAAGCUCCUCUGUCCGGAGCGCUAAUGACGGUACCGGAAGAAUAAGCACCGGCUAAGUUCGUG
Molecule: ribosomal RNA, 435 nt
Filed under: uncultured bacterium
Lineage: Bacteria
Description: partial 16S ribosomal RNA
Rfam family: Bacterial small subunit ribosomal RNA
Source: RNAcentral